UACGUAGGGUGCAAGCGUUAAUCGGAAUUACUGGGCGUAAAGCGUGCGCAGGCGGUUUUGUAAGUCUGUCGUGAAAGCCCCGGGCUCAACCUGGGAAUUGCGAUGGAGACUGCAGGGCUUGAAUCUGGCAGAGGGGGGUAGAAUUCCACGUGUAGCAGUGAAAUGCGUAGAGAUGUGGAGGAACACCGAUGGCGAAGGCAGCCCCCUGGGUCAAGAUUGACGCUCAUGCACGAAAGCGUGGGGAGCAAACAGG
RNAcentral lists this ribosomal RNA (253 nucleotides) under uncultured bacterium. RNAcentral describes it as "partial 16S ribosomal RNA". It matches the Rfam family "Bacterial small subunit ribosomal RNA", at positions 524 to 776 of the family's 1533-position model. The record is from RNAcentral.